UGAUGCAAGGGCGAUCUGGCUGCGACAUCUCUCACCCCAUUGAUUGUCAGGGUUGAUUUAGCUGACCUGGCUGGCUAGAUGGGUUUCCCCUUUCUCUCUCACCACUCCAUGUGCGUUCCUCUUGAAGCGGCGUGCUCUGCGGAAGUGGACGACCAUCCCAGAUAGAAGAAUUGUAGCUCAAGGUCCAACAGUGUAUUUCUUCACACAGUGAAUAUUACAACGCAGGAUUUGCUACCACUAGAUGUGUUGCAUACCAGU
This is a non-coding RNA of Podarcis lilfordi (Lilford's wall lizard), 258 nucleotides long. Lineage: Eukaryota; Metazoa; Chordata; Lepidosauria; Squamata; Lacertidae. The record is from the annotation of a GenBank genome assembly.